Sardina pilchardus (European sardine) is the source of this 649-nucleotide long non-coding RNA. RefSeq lists it as uncharacterized. NCBI's taxonomy places the organism in Eukaryota, Metazoa, Chordata, Actinopteri, Clupeiformes, Clupeidae. The record is from RefSeq and is a predicted model, not a curated record. The transcript is spliced from 4 exons.
AAUGUGUUACAGGCGUUGCUGUCCUUUUUUUGGAGUAGAGCCGUGUGUUGACCGUGUAUUACAUGGGUAUAGGUAGUAAAAACUGGACAAAGGCUGACCUUUAAGUAUGGAUUGGUAAGGCAACAGUAGCUUUCUAUCCAAGAGUCUGUAGAUCCUCAGGUCUAGCACCCUCAGGAUCUUCAAUACCACUGAAGACUGUUGGGCUGUAUUCAACUGUCAGAAGAACAACUGGAACCACUAAAAGAAUCAUGUUGGUCAUUUACCAACACUGCCACUGUGAUAAUAAAUAAGACACUGAGAUGGACGAUACUCAGCCAGAACUGACCAGCGAGCCAUAGGAAUGGACACUAAGAUAUCAGAGGACAUGCAGGGAUGUGCAUCCUCCACUGCCUGUUGAGUGUGUCGAUAAUAAAGAGGGCAAGCCUGGACAAGUUAUCUAUGAUGACAAAGACUUCCCCAUGAGACAAGGUGCAGAGCCAUGGGGAGACGUGAGCAAGGAUGACUCUGCCAACCAUAUCGAAAAUCAAAGUAGCCUAAAAUUGUCAGGGAGAGCAGAUGAAAAUUAGUCUGGUGCAUUAUAUAUGUUCUAUAUAAGGCCAUGUUGAUUAACAUGGUUCUUUUUUAAAUAAAUAAAACAUAAUAAAACUGC